GGGUGUUUAACUCAGUGGUAGAGUGUUCGCUUUGCAUUCAAUGCUGCGAAAAGUCGAGCGUUCGAUCCGCUCAUCAUCCA
This is a non-coding RNA of Rickenella mellea, 80 nucleotides long. Lineage: Eukaryota; Fungi; Basidiomycota; Agaricomycetes; Hymenochaetales; Rickenellaceae. The record is from the annotation of a GenBank genome assembly.